GACGAACGCUGGCGGCGUGCUUAACACAUGCAAGUCGAACGGAAAGGCCUUUUCGGCGGUACUCGAGUGGCGAACGGGUGAGUAACACGUGGGUGAUCUGCCCUGCCCUCUGGGAUAAGCCUGGGAAACUGGGUCUAAUACCGGAUAGGACCGCACUUCAGAGUGUGUGGGGGAAAGGUUUUUCGGUGUAGGAUGAGCCCGCGGCCUAUCAGCUUGUUGGUGGGGUAAUGGCCUACCAAGGCGGCGACGGGUAGCCGGACUGAGGGGUUGGUCGGCCACAUUGGGACUGAGAGACGGCCCAGACUCCUACGGGAGGCAGCAGGGGGGAAUAUUGCCCAAUGGGCGCCAGCCGGGUGCAGCGACGCCGCGUGGGGGAGGACGGCCUUAGGGUUGUAAACUCCUUUCGCCAGGGACGAAGCGUUUUGUGACGGUACCUGGAGAAGAAGCACCGGCUAACUACGUG
RNAcentral lists this ribosomal RNA (463 nucleotides) under uncultured bacterium. RNAcentral's name for it is "partial 16S ribosomal RNA". It matches the Rfam family "Bacterial small subunit ribosomal RNA", at positions 28 to 507 of the family's 1533-position model. The record is from RNAcentral.